GAGGAUGCUUCAUGUCAGCCUGAGGAGC
This 28-nucleotide non-coding RNA is filed under the name Rattus norvegicus (Norway rat). The record is from RNAcentral. Lineage: Eukaryota; Metazoa; Chordata; Mammalia; Rodentia; Muridae.